Molecule: long non-coding RNA, 676 nt
Filed under: Vigna radiata
Lineage: Eukaryota; Viridiplantae; Streptophyta; Magnoliopsida; Fabales; Fabaceae
Description: long non-coding RNA (VRAD_LNC008442)
Source: RNAcentral
AAAAACAGAAGAAGUUGAAAACGAAUGUCUCAAGAAGAGGGGAUCUCCCUGUAACCUAGCCAGAAGCAUGCAAAAGAAAAUCAAACCAGUUGGGACCAUCCUUUUGGCCGAUCCUUGUCAUGUCACUACCUCUUCCAAAUAGAACCCCGGGCCAAAGAAAACUAGGGCAACUUUGUGAACCUCACACGAGUUGUUCAUCAGCCCAUACCACGAUAAAAAAAAAAAAACUGGGGCAACUUUGUGAGUCUCACACAAAAUUUUCAUCAAUCCAUAAUCCCAUGACCAGGGCAACUUUGCAAGUCUCAUUUGAUUUGUUCACCCUUAUUUUCAUGGAUCCAUACCCUUAUGCUCAUUUUCCCAAACACUAAAUGGGGGAAAAUUUUUUUGGUAUAUCUUGUUUCGUCUUGGCACUUACAUAUUACAUCUCCUUUGAGGAUUGUGGUACCCAUGUGCCGGUCCCAGUCUUCCAAACCAUUCCAAACAACUCUCAUUCUCUUCAAAACCAUCCUCUUGCCAAUAAAUUUAAGCAUGUGUGCACUGAUGUCCCGAAAGAAAAGUCAAAAUGUAAUAAUCUCAAAGUUUAGACCUUGGAUGUAAGACAUUUAUCACUUUCACAAAACAUUGAAAAUGAAAAUCGGUUUGAUAAUUGCGAGCAAGACGAUUGACUCAAGCAAAA